RNAcentral lists this long non-coding RNA (1194 nucleotides) under Hordeum vulgare. RNAcentral describes it as "long non-coding RNA (HVUL_LNC000130)". Lineage: Eukaryota; Viridiplantae; Streptophyta; Magnoliopsida; Poales; Poaceae. The record is from RNAcentral.
AAAUCAAAGUAUCUCUACCUUAAUCAAAUUUAUAAAAGAAGUAUCAAAAUUUAAAAUGCCAAAUUAACAUUGUUAGAUUCAUUAUGAAAUGUAGUUUCAUGGUACAGAUAUUGAUACUGCAGGUGUCGAUAUUUUUAAAUGUAAAUUAGCUCAAAUCAUAUAAAGUUUGACUUGACAUAAAUCUAAUACGUGAAAUAAAAAAGAUGAGAAGGAGUACAGCUUUUUCGUUUGGAUAUGAUGGUACGUGUUCCGAAAAGAUGGUGAUGGUACACUGCAACGGGGUAUCUUCCUCCACGACGGGACAUGGAUGUGGUUGAAUUAAUGGUCGAGAGAUACCGAUCCCGAGCUAUCGCGUACACAGAAAGGACACUGUAUUGCGAGAACGGCGUCGCAGAGACCGGGAUCCAAUGUGCCCGGUAUACUAAAAAAAAUUAGUAUAUACUUGAAAGCUUCAAAACAUACUAAAUUUCUUAUACAACUACAUAUACAUGGUAGUCAGGUAUGUAAAAAAAUUCACUACAUGGUGUCUUCAGCGUACCAACAAAUUGGGCGUAUCUUCUACAUGUCGGAACACGUAUAUAGCGCCAUGUGAAUAUAAAUUAGUUAAAGACGGACGGAUUAGUAAAGGGAGAUGCAUGAAGUAAAGAUACUAUCUUAUUAGUCAACAAUUAAUCUACCAUGAAAGGUAUGUGCAUGUUUUGGCAUUAUCGACGACCUAUAUGUAUCACCAUGAUUAAAUCAGAAGUGUCAUGCAUAUACGUUGAAAGUGUCUCAUCUGCAAGUGAACUUAUUGUACCCUUAAUGUUUCUAGACAUAAUGAGCAUUAUAAAUCUGAACCAAUGAUUGACUCCAUGAACUCAUAUCAGUAGAAGAACUUAUGCCUUCUUUGAUUCAACCUUUGACGGGUCGGGGCGCGUCAUGUGCCGCCGGUUAUCAAUUGAGUGCGCUGCCUCAUGCACAUCAACCUAGAAGAAAGCAAUCACUGUCAACUGCAUGUACGUAUGUUCAUAGAAAGAAUCAAUCAACCUGUCGGUGAUCAAUUGACUGUGUUGCCUCAUGCACAUCCACCUAGAAGAAUGCAAUCACUGUUAAUUGCAUAUACGUAUGUUCAUGGAAGGAAUCAAUGAAUCUGCUUACCCAUUGUAUGUAUUUGUUUCCCUCGCCCGAGAACAAUUGCAGCAAGUAGUCCAUGCA